Molecule: transfer RNA, 66 nt
Filed under: Belzebub intermedius
Lineage: Eukaryota; Metazoa; Arthropoda; Malacostraca; Decapoda; Luciferidae
Description: tRNA-Trp
Source: RNAcentral
AGGACUUUAAGUUAAAAUAAACUGAUAGCCUUCAAAGCUUUAAAUAAGAAGUUUUCUUAAGUUCUA